GGGCAUGUGGCGAAGUGGCUAACGCAUCAGUCCGCAAAACUGACAUUCAUCAGUUCAAGUCUGAUCAUGCCCU
Molecule: transfer RNA, 73 nt
Filed under: Clostridiales bacterium
Lineage: Bacteria; Bacillati; Bacillota; Clostridia; Eubacteriales
Description: tRNA-Cys
Rfam family: tRNA
About the family: Transfer RNA (tRNA) molecules are approximately 80 nucleotides in length. Their secondary structure includes four short double-helical elements and three loops (D, anti-codon, and T loops).
Source: RNAcentral